This is a long non-coding RNA of Manis pentadactyla (Chinese pangolin), 1267 nucleotides long. RefSeq lists it as uncharacterized. The transcript has 5 exons. The record is from RefSeq and is a predicted model, not a curated record. Lineage: Eukaryota; Metazoa; Chordata; Mammalia; Pholidota; Manidae.
AUACAAUCUUAUAGUUUUAGACAUCAAAAGCCCAGGUGGGUCUGAAAUCAAGGUUUCAGCAGGGCUGCAUUCUUCCAGGGGCUCUAGAGGAGGUGAACUUUUGUUGAGUUCGGUGCUGAUGUUGACUUUUUAAGGUAGCAGGUUCUUAGUAACUGCAUUCACCCUUAUAAUUUCAGAGUCCUGAGCUCAGAUCCAAAUGUGGUGCCAGCACAGACCUUCCUGUGAUGCUGUUGAAAGAAAGGAAGUGUGUGGUGGCUCGGGUUUUUCGUGGUUAGCUUUGUGUUUAGCUUGCUGUUGAAGGAUGUGAGCUCCCAACAUACAAUUAAUCGUGAGCAAGUCUCAGACUUCUUAGAUGUGAAUGGAAGGCUGUCAGGUCUUCUUUUAAGCUAACCAGGUUUAAGCAGCUAAGUUGUAUUACGGUCUUUCCAGACUGAAUCUGAGCUCUUUGGGUGGAUAAUUCGUGUCAGAUUGGCCAAACCAGUGAGGAUUAAGGAAGGCUCAUCCAGACCAGAUGGUGACUGGCUGAAGAAGUUUUCCAGUAGGACCCUUGGAGAGACUAAAGAAGAGGGAGGGUUGGAGCCUUCCAAGGUGGAAGCCUAGGAGGGAGUGCCCUCUGCAAAGAAGGCCCGGUCAAAUCCCCAGGUGUACAUGGACAUCAGGAUUGGGAACAAGCCUGCUGGCCGCAACCACAUACCCCUGCAUUCCAGUGUGUUCCCAGGACCACAGGCCUGCUCUCCAUGGCCAGCUUUAGCCUAAACACCAGUGGCUCCCAGUUCUUCCUGACAUGUGACAAGACAGAUUGGCUGGAUGGCAAGGACGUGGUGUUUGGGGAAGUCACGGAAGGCCUGGAUGUCUUGCGGCAGAUUGAGGCCGAAGGCAGCAAGGACGGGAAGCCAAAGCAGAAGGUGAUCAUUGCCGACUGUGGGGAGUACAUGUGAGAUGGGGCCUUUUCUGCACUGUCCCCACGUGUCCAGGAGCUGUCAGCCCCGGGAACCGCACCUGAGGGUGUCCUGUUUGCAGCAAGCAGGAGUUUGUGUCGUAGCCCUUCUCGGGGUCACCUUGGAGCAGCUCCUCUGUGGGAGUGGCCUGGGAUCCCUCUGGCUCUUUUCCAGUGUGGCCGUGGGCCUGGGAGCUGGUACAGGCCCCACCGCCCUACCGCGGACAGGUUGUGCAUGACCUUUUCCAGGCCUUUGCUGCCAGGACCUCUCUUGGGCCCACCAGUGUGACUCCGGAUGUUUCUUCUGGUAAAAUAAACCCUCAUUCUUGU